This 1505-nucleotide ribosomal RNA is filed under the name bacterium. RNAcentral's name for it is "bacterial SSU rRNA". It matches the Rfam family "Bacterial small subunit ribosomal RNA". The record is from RNAcentral.
CCACCGGUUAGUGAUAGUCGUGCAGUCGAGCGGAUCGAUGGGAGCUUGCUCCCUGAGAUCAGCGGCGGACGGGUGAGUAACACGUGGGUAACCUGCCUGUAAGACUGGGAUAACUCCGGGAAACCGGGGCUAAUACCGGAUAACACCUACCCCCGCAUGGGGGAAGGUUGAAAGGUGGCUUCGGCUAUCACUUACAGAUGGACCCGCGGCGCAUUAGCUAGUUGGUGAGGUAAUGGCUCACCAAGGCGACGAUGCGUAGCCGACCUGAGAGGGUGAUCGGCCACACUGGGACUGAGACACGGCCCAGACUCCUACGGGAGGCAGCAGUAGGGAAUCGGCCGCAAUAGGACAGAAAUGGUCCGCACGGAGCAACCACCGCAUGAGCGACAGAAGCGUUUUCGGAUUCGUAAACACUCCUGCUUGCUCAGGGAAGAACAAGUGCCGUUCCGAAUAGGGCGGGCUGCCUUGACCGGUACCUGAAACAAGAAAUGCCACUGGCUAACUACCGUGGCCAGCAGCCGCGGUAAUACGUAGGUGGCAAGCGUCGUCCAGGAAAUAAUUGGGCGUAAAGCGCGCGGCAGGUGGUUUCUUAAGUCUGAUGUGAAAGCCCACGGCUCAACCCGUGGAGCGGUCAUUGGAAACUGGGGAACUUGAGUGCAGAAGAGGAAAGUGGAAUUCCAAGUGUAGCGGUGAAAUGCGUAGAUAUUUGGAGGAACACCAGUGGCGAAGGCGACUUUCUGGUCUGUAACUGACACUGAGGCGCGAAAGCGUGGGGAGCAAACAGGAUUAGAUACCCUGGUAGUCCACGCCGUAAACGAUGAGUGCUAAGUGUUAGAGGGUUUCCGCCCUUUUAGUGCUGCAGCUAACGCAUUAAGCACUCCGCCUGGGGAGUACGGGUCGCAAGACUGAAACUCAAAGGAAUUUGACGGGGGCCCCGCCACAAGCGGUGGAGCAUGUGAUUUAAUUCGAAGCAACGCGAAGAACCUUACCAGGUCGUGACAUCCUCUGACAACCCUAGAAGAAUAGGGCUGUCCCCUUCGGGGGACAGAGUGACAGGUUGGUGCCAUGGAUGGUCGUCAGCCUCCGUGUCAGAUGAGAAUGUUGGGUUAAGUUCCCGCCAACGAGCGCAACCCUUGGAAUCUUAGCUGCCAAGACAUUCCAGUUGGGCACUCUAAGAUGACUGCCGGUGACAAACCGGAGGAAGGUGGGGAUGACGUCAAAUCAUCAUGCCCCUUAUGACCUGGGCUACACACGUGCUACAAUGGACGGUACAAAGGGCUGCAAGACCGCGAGGUUUAGCCAAUCCCAUAAAACCGUUCUCAGUUCGGAUUGUAGGCUGCAACUCGCCUACAUGAAGCUGGAAUCGCUAGUAAUCGCGGAUCAGCAUGCCGCGGUGAAUACGUUCCCGGGCCUUGUACACACCGCCCGUCACACCACGAGAGUUUGUAUACUCCCGAAGUCGGUGAGGUAACCUCGCGACACAGUACACCGCAAAAAGAACGACG